This is a regulatory RNA element of Meleagris gallopavo (turkey), 31 nucleotides long. It matches the Rfam family "Iron response element II". From Rfam's summary of the family: IRE, TFRC, SLC40A1, SDHB, SLC11A2, CDC42BPA, ACO2, ALAS2_H.SAPIENS, CDC14A, EPAS1, ALAS2, qoxD, Hao1, NDUFS1, transferrin, Aconitate. NCBI's taxonomy places the organism in Eukaryota, Metazoa, Chordata, Aves, Galliformes, Phasianidae. The record is from Rfam.
AAAAUUUCAGAAGCAGUGUCUUCUAAAAUUU